This 414-nucleotide ribosomal RNA is filed under the name uncultured bacterium. Its description in RNAcentral is "bacterial SSU rRNA". It matches the Rfam family "Bacterial small subunit ribosomal RNA", at positions 29 to 433 of the family's 1533-position model. The record is from RNAcentral.
AACGAACGCUGGCGGCGCGCCUAAUACAUGCAAGUCGAGCGAGAAGACGUAGCAAUACGUUUGUAAAGCGGCGAACGGGUGAGGAAUACAUGGGUAACCUACCCUCGAGUGGGGAAUAACUAGCCGAAAGGUUAGCUAAUACCGCGUACGCUCCUUGGACUUCGGUUCAGGGAGGAAAGCGAUACCGUGGGUAUCGCGCUCUUGGAUGGGCUCAUGUCCUAUCAGCUUGUUGGUGAGGUAACGGCUCACCAAGGCUUCGACGGGUAGCUGGUCUGAGAGGACGAUCAGCCACACUGGCACUGCGACACGGGCCAGACUCCUACGGGAGGCAGCAGUAAGGAAUAUUGCGCAAUGGGCGAAAGCCUGACGCAGCGACGCCGCGUGGGGGAUGAAGGUCUUCGGAUUGUAAACCCC